AGUUUCUGAAUGCUGGGAGCAAAUGGCAGCGUUGCACUGCACGACGGAUUUCCGGCUUCGUAAAACUUCUGUUGUAAAGAAAGACACCUUUGAGAGUUACUGUUCAAAGGAGUGACGGUAUUUAAGCCAGAAAAAGCCCACGGCUAACCUACGUGCCCAGCAGCCCGCGAGUAAAUACGUAGGUGGGCAAGCGUUGUCCCGGAUUUUAUUGGGCGUAAAGCGAGCGCAGGCCGGUUUUUUUAAGUCUGAUGUGAAAGCCUUCGGCUUAACCGGAGAAGUGCAUCGGAAACUGGGAGACUUGAGUGCAGAAGAGGACAGUGGAACUCCAUGUGUAGCGGUGGAAUGCGUAGAUAUAUGGAAGAACACCAGUGGCGAAGGCGGCUGUCUAGUCUGUAACUGACGCUGAGGCUCGAAAGCAUGGGUAGCGAACAGGAUUAGAUACCCUGGUAGUCCAUGCCGUAAACGAUGAGUGCUAAGUGUUGGAGGGUUUCCGCCCUUCAGUGCUGCAGCUAACGCAUUAAGCACUCCGCCUGGGGAGUACGACCGCAAGGUUGAAACUCAAAGGAAUUGACGGGGGCCCGCACAAGCGGUGGAGCAUGUGGUUUAAUUCGAAGCUACGCGAAGAACCUUACCAGGUCUUGACAUCUUCUGCCAAUCUUAGAGAUAAGACGUUCCCUUCGGGGACAGAAUGACAGGUGGUGCAUGGUUGUCGUCAGCUCGUGUCGUGAGAUGUUGGGUUAAGUCCCGCAACGAGCGCAACCCUUAUUAUCAGUUGCCAGCAUUCAGUUGGGCACUCUGGUGAGACUGCCGGUGACAAACCGGAGGAAGGUGGGGAUGACGUCAAAUCAUCAUGCCCCUUAUGACCUGGGCUACACACGUGCUACAAUGGACGGUACAACGAGUCGCGAAGUCGUGAGGCUAAGCUAAUCUCUUAAAGCCGUUCUCAGUUCGGAUUGUAGGCUGCAACUCGCCUACAUGAAGUUGGAAUCGCUAGUAAUCGCGGAUCAGCAUGCCGCGGUGAAUACGUUCCCGGGCCUUGUACACACCGCCCGUCACACCAUGAGAGUUUGUAACACCCAAAGCCGGUGAGAUAACCUUCGGGAGUCAGCCGUCUAAGGUGAAAAA
Molecule: ribosomal RNA, 1125 nt
Filed under: Levilactobacillus brevis
Lineage: Bacteria; Bacillati; Bacillota; Bacilli; Lactobacillales; Lactobacillaceae
Description: bacterial SSU rRNA
Rfam family: Bacterial small subunit ribosomal RNA
Source: RNAcentral